CUUGGCAUUCCCAGGGUGAAAGCUCACAGAAAAGCUGCUGCUGAAACCAUGGCCUGGCCGGGUGGGUGGCCUCUGAGUUGGCUGUGGCAAUGGACAGCCCUCCUGUGAGCUCAGUAUGACCUGGGACCAUUUUCUUCUACAUCCACCUGUGGCUAACGCAUCACCAAAACCUGAGGACCCCACCCAAAGGUGUCCUGAGCCCCUCUAUCCUUCUGGCUGGACAACUGCCCCAGCUGGGAGGUGCUGCUCCAGACCUGGUUGACUGACCCCUCUGGGUCUCAUGGCUUCCACUUCAGUCCACUAUCCAGGCUAAUCUUUAACCCACCCUGCUCCUGGGUGUGCAGAGGCUCUUCAAGGGGACAGAUGGGAGCCAGUGUGGGCUGAGGCUUCCUCCAGGUCUUCUGGGCCUGGCCCCAGUGUCUCAGGAGAGCUGCACUGGGGUCCAGGUGGCUGGGGCUGCGGCUGUCUUGCCAGCCUCAUAGGCCAUGUGAGAAUCUGACUGCUACUCUGAAGGGGGAGCCAUGCAGGGACAGAGGAAGGCUGGCUCUCAUCCUACAGCUCACUCUGGCUGUGAGGCAUGAAGAGUCAUGGGAACUGAAGACCUUUGCUCUGGCAGGCAGUGAGUGCUCAGAAAUGUUUGCCACGGUGGUCAUGGCCGCUUUGUGUGAGAAGGCUGAGGCAUGUCCUGGCACCCUGGGCCGAGGGACAGCAGGCAGGGUGCCCUGAGGGAGAAGAGCCCUUUCCUGCCAGGGGGUCUGUGCUAAGAGAGGGAUGCCCAUUAACGGAGCCCGAGCAGGCACCUCACCAGGAGGAUCUCCAGGCAGGAGGCUGCAGCCCCAAGAUGUCACUGCUCUCUAGGUCUCUGAGCCUGAGAGUCAGCACACUCAGCACACCCGGCCACCUGCUGUCCUCAGGAAACCCCUGCCCGAGGAUGAUGCAUUGGCCUAGCACACCCUCGGCACUCCUCCCCAUCUCUCGGGGACUCUGGUCCCCUUCCUGAUGAAGCAGCUGGAGCUACCGCCCCCUCACCCACACCCUUCCAACUCGCUCAGUCCCAGCCCCCUCAGGAGAAGAGACACAGAGGUCCUGACAGUGAGCCCAGAGUGAGGAGCAAGGAAGGGAGGGCAGAUAAGGCAGGGAACCCAGCUGUGAGCAGGGAUAUUGAGCACGGGAUGAGGGCUCACAGGGAGACACUGAGCCUCCGCGGGGCCACUGCCCAUGAAUGGGCACCAUGUCGGACUGGGAGCACAGGAGGCCAGGCUGGGGGAGGCCCUUGCUCAGGCCUGGGCACACCCACUCGGGUUGGUGGGGUGGCAGCCAGGCUUUCCGUCCCAGUGUGAAGCAGGGUCUGGUUUCAGGCUCCUGGGCUGAUCCAGUGCUGAACAAUAAAUCAGACCAACAGAUACUGGGUUCAGGCAUAAAGAUAUGAUGUGAACUGGCCUCCUCCCCCAGCUCCAGUGGAGCCCAUGGCCAAGCUGACACUGGAGGCUGAGCCAAGGUGGGGCCUAGGUGGUAGGCACAGGGGGUGAGAGUCACAGGUGCCUGAGCUGCCGAGGGAGCUGGAGAACACCUCCCCAGCCUUUUGUUCCCCAAGGUCACGCGGGCAGCAAGAACAGGGCAGGACAUGCUUAGGGCUCUCUGAGACUCCAGACUCAGUGCUCUGAGCUGGUCUGUCUUCCUUUGAGAGGGGCAUGGCUCUGUUGGGGGAGGGGGCUGAGUCAGGGUCUGCUCUGAGGCACCCAGGCAGCAGCUCUGGAAAUGUCACCCUUGGAGCACAGACCACCUCUGAGAGUCUAAAUUGGGAAAACAAUAUGUGGUUUCAAUAGAUCAUCAGGACGAUCUUUGUAAACAAUCACAAAGCUAAUACUGCAUAAACAGAAAGACAUUCUAAAAAGAGGCUUGGGAGGCCCCUGGGAUGGGAGCCUUAGUUGUGUGGCUGAGUCUUUGCCUCUGUGGGUCUUGUCUCUUCCGUGUGUAGGGCUGGCUGAGCCCCAAGGACAGCUGAGUGUACUUUGGAGACAGCCAACAGCUAUUAGCCCUGAGAAAAUUCUAACAGUUGCUUCUUGGAGUAUCUUCUGCAGGAGGGGCCAGUGGGCAGGUGGUCAAGAGUGGCUGUUUUCCCAGUAAGUGAGGUGCAGAGGGGGCAGGGGUGAAGGGGCUAUGGAUGCCUCACUGGCCAUUUCUGGGCUGGUUCUGCAAGGCCUUCACCAUCACCUGAGCUCAUCUGCUCCUCUGAUGCCUGUGGGUGAAGUAAGUGUGUCUGCUUCUGCUCCUGGCUCCCUGUCCUGGAUCCUUAGAACUAGAAGGCAGCACCCUCCUAGUGUGAUUUCAUCAAGGCUUAUAUAAAGUGCUGCCCUAGGGAAGGAAGGAGGCUCCCACUCUGACAGCUGGAUAGAAGCCUCUAGCAGGGUGCUUGGUGCCAGGCACAAGCUGCCUACAUAGGUGAGGAAGGUCCUGGCCUGAGAAGCUCCCAUCCUGACAACAAACCUAUGUGAGCUCAGAAGGAUCCAGUCGCUGACCUGACCAUCUUGCCCCUGCCAUGAACAGUAAUCUGGAUGGCUCACAAGCCCAGAUGUCUGCUGGAAACCUCAUUCCUUGGCCAGUGUAGUACUGAGGCUCAGAGGAGCCCAGGAGGAUCUGGGCCACCUCCGAUUCUGUGUUAGCAGCCCUUAAUCAUGGUCUUGGCAUAUGACACAGGCACAGCUGGUUCAGAGUGGAACACUCACAGCUGAGCCCUGCUGCCCUCUGUCAUUCCAGCAGCAACCCCACAGAUGUGCUGCAGAGGAGUGGGGGCACAGUGGAUCCCAUUGCAUAGGAUCCACAAGCCUCCUAAAAUUGUAUCCAACAGAAACUGUCCAUUAUGUUUGGAUAUAUAUGUCUUUAUCUAGCUUUCAUCAAUCCUUUUUUUCCCCCUGCUUUUUAUGGCUGCUCUAGUAGCAUAUGGAAAUUCCCAGGCUAGGGGUCAAAACUGAGCUACAGCUGCCAGCCUAUACCACAUCCACAGCAACAUGGGAUCCUAGCCAUGUCUGCGACCUACACCACAGCUCACAGCAACACUGCAUCCCUACCUCACUGAGCAAAGCCAGGGAUCAAACCUGCAUCCUCAGAUUUGUUUCUGCUGUACCGCAAGAGAAACUCCCUAACUUUCAUCAAUUCUCAAAGAAGCUCAUGACUCAAACAAGGUCAGAACUGGAGUCUAGGACACAGAGGGUUCCAGAAAUCCUGGCCCUGCACAGGCUGUAAGCACAUGUUACAGGUGGAGUUGAGUAGAGGGCAUGGGGGCAGGAAGGAAGAGAUGUCACUUUCCUCUGUGGAUAAGACAGAUCUCUCAAUCUUUCAAAAUCUUAGAGAUAAAAUCUUUUAUUGUAUAAUUUUGAAAUUACACAACUUGGAAACUUAAGAAUUUGUCAAUUUAGAAACGUUUUGAUAAUAUGGUUGGCUGGGUACCUAGAUCAGGUCUUCCACUGAAAACAACUCAAAACCUGGACAAAAUAUAAAAAUAAUCAUCUAAACUGUGUGAAAGAGUUUAGCCCACAAAACAAAAAUCUCAAGUCAAAACAUUUAGGCAAUAUGGAAAUCUAGAAAGACAAGCCAAGAUCCACUGCCAUUAUUUGGGCCAAGGGAAUUUGCCAAACAAGGUUAACUUGAACUUUGAGUUUUACAACUUCCUGGUGAGCAGUGGAUGGAAGUCAAAGCCCACAACUGGCUUGGAUUUCUACAGGAGGUCUCCAUAAAGAUGAGAUCCUAAUGAGCUAUAUACUCCCAAGUCAGGAAUGUUAGACUGUUAAAGCAAACUGACUCAUCUAGGAAGAACUUUUCUCCAAAUAGAGUCAAUUGCCUAGUUUAAUACAACCAUCUGCAUGCUCAGAUAUCUCUUUUUUAAAAAAAAUUAAACAGCUUUAUUGAGAUAAAAUUGAUGUACAGUAAACUGCAUAUACUUAAUGUGUACAAUUUGAUGUUUUGAUAGAUGUGUACAUUCAUGACACUAUCAUCACAGUCAAGAUAAUGGACUCAUCCAUUGGUGCUUCCCUCCCUCCAGCCCCUGCCUCAUAUUGCAUCUAAGAAACCACUGCCUAAUCCAAGAACAUGAAAAAUCAUGAUCAGGUUUCUAAGAUCUUAAUAGUUAUCUUUUACAUUUAGAUCUUUGAUCCCCUUUGAAUUCACUUGUACACAUGGUGUGAAGUAGGGUUCCAUCUUCAUUUGCCUGCAUGGGGAUAUCCUUUUCUACCAGUGUCAUUGUUGAACACUAAUCUUGCCCUAUUGAAUUGACUUAGCACCUCUGUCAAGAUAUCUAUCAAUCAUCAGUACAAUAAAAGGAUAUUGCACUUGUCAACAUAUAUUCACUUAAUAUAUAAGCACCUAAAUACAUAAAACAAAUACUAACAUACAUAAAGGGAGAAACUGAUGGGGAUACAAUAACAAUAGACUUUAAUACCCCACUCACAUCCAUGGACAUAAAAUCAAUAAGGCAACGGAGAUAUUAAAUGAUGCAAUUGAACAAUUAGACUUAUUUAUAGUUUCAGGUCAUUACAUCCAAAAAAAAACCCAGAAUAUACCUUCUUUUCAAGGGCAUGUGGAACAUUCUCUAGGACUGACCACAUACUAGGGCACAAAACAAAUUUUAACAAAUUUAAGAGGAUAGAAAUUAUUUCAAGCAUCUUUUCUGAUCAUGAUGGCAUGAAACUAGAAAUCAACCACAGAAAUAGAAAUGACAAAAAACUGACUACAUGGAAACUAAACAGCAUCCUACUAAAAAGCCAAUGAGCCAAUGAUGAAAUCAAAGAGGAAAUUUAAAAAUAUCUUGAGACAAAUGACAAUGAAAACACAACCAUAAAUGUCCCUCAACAGAUGAUUGGAUUAGGAAGAUGUGGUAUAUAUACACAAUGGAAUACUACUCAGCCAUAAAAAAGAACAAAAUAAUGCCAUUUGCAGUAACAUGGAUGGAACUAGAGAAUCUCAUACUGAGUGCAAUGAGCCAGAAAGACAAAGACAAAUACCAUAUGAUAUCACUUAUAACUGGAAUCUAAUAUCCAGCACAAAUGAACAUCUCCUCAGAAAAGAAAAUCAUGGACUUGGAGAAGAGACUUGUGGCUGCCUGAUGGGAGGGGGAGGGAGUGGGAGGGAUCAGGAGCUUGGGCUUAUCAGACACAACUUAGAAUAGAUUUACAAGGAGAUCCUGCUGAGUAGCAUUGAGAACUUUGUCUAGAUACUCAUGUUGCAACAGAACAAAGGGUGGGGAAAAAAAUGUAAUUGUAAUGUAUACAUGUAAGGAAACUUGAUCCCCUUGCUGUACAGUG
RNAcentral lists this long non-coding RNA (5297 nucleotides) under Sus scrofa (pig). RNAcentral's name for it is "lncRNA (ENSSSCG00000056767.1)". Lineage: Eukaryota; Metazoa; Chordata; Mammalia; Artiodactyla; Suidae. The record is from RNAcentral.